Molecule: long non-coding RNA, 800 nt
Organism: Pleuronectes platessa (European plaice)
Lineage: Eukaryota; Metazoa; Chordata; Actinopteri; Pleuronectiformes; Pleuronectidae
Exons: 3
Source: RefSeq, a predicted model, not a curated record
UAAUACCUUACAUCCUGCCUUGCACCACUGUAUUUCAAAGAAUUUACGUGUCAGUUCUGAGAGCCAUAGUCAUACUGUGCUGUUCCGCAGUAACUAACAUACUCACAGGUUUGGUCUUGUCUCCAAAGAAGUGAAUGGUUGAGUAGUUGUCUUUCUCAACAAUCCCGAGACAGUACCUCUUAUCCCAGCCAUCAGGAAACACAUCAAAGCUGAUCUGCCCCCCUGCAGAAACAUGAUGUGGAGAAUUUACAGAGCCACGCACAGCAAUCAACCGUCGGGUAAUAGGAUUCGACGCAUUUUUUAGUUGACGAGCGCUGACCACUGGGCUGCUGUGACCAGAGAAAUUCUGUGUUUUCACUGUUUCCACUGUUAAGAAGUAGUCGAUCCAGAGCCGGCUGAUCAUGCUGGCUGAUCGUAAUGGUGGAUCCUUUAUCGUGUUGGAGGCUGAUAAUGGUGGUGGACCACGACCGAGGUGGCAGCUGAUGAUGGAUCCUAAUUGGCAGCAGUGGACAAAUUGACUGUGGACUAUAGUGGCACUCUCUGAGUUUUCUACGUUCUUUUUACCCUGUUUAAAUGAUUUUUUUUUUGUUUAAGGUCUUUACAUUUUUAGGAGUAUGGUUGGAUGAAAAAUUGACAUAUUGAGAAAAUGUGGGGGAAAUUAUAAAGAAAGUUAUAAAUCGUUUUUCCUUACUCUUGUUGAGGGUUAAGGACAGAAGAUGUCACACCAUGGUAAAGCCCCAUGAGACAAAUUGUGAUUUGUGGAUAUGGGCUAUACAAAUAAAAUUUGAUUUAUUGAUUGA